This 243-nucleotide long non-coding RNA is filed under the name Pan troglodytes (chimpanzee). Its description in RNAcentral is "long non-coding RNA NONPTRT017749". Lineage: Eukaryota; Metazoa; Chordata; Mammalia; Primates; Hominidae. The record is from RNAcentral.
UUCCGUGGCGCCUCGGAGGCGUUCAGCUGCUUCAAGAUGAAGCUGAACAUCUCCUUCCCAGCCACUGGCUGCCAAAAACUCAUUGAAGUGGACGAUGAACGCAAACUUCGUACUUUUUAUGAGAAGCGUAUGGCCACAGAAGUUGCUGCUGACGCUCUGGGUGAAGAAUGGAAGGGUUAUGUGGUCCGAAUCAGUGGUGGGAACGACAAAUAAGGUUUCCCCAUGAAGCAGGGUGUCUUGACC